AAAGUAGCUUCUAUUAGUUAAAUGUGUUUGAUUGUUAAAGAAAACCAAAAAUAUUGGACUUGAUUGAUAAAUAAACCCUAUGAUUAGUUAAUGGACAAUUAUGAACCUGCUAUGUUAAUAAUUUUGUUAAGAUUAAAAAGUUAAUUUGGUAAUUAGUUUAAUUAAAGAAAAAAACAAAAGAAAAAGAAAAUCGUAUCAUCAUCUUCCCAACUCUCUCCCAUCGAAAAAAAGAAACUCUAUCUUUGGAGCUUGAAGUUUUGGUUAGCAAAUUGGUGCAUGUAAGUUUUUC
This 289-nucleotide long non-coding RNA is filed under the name Gossypium raimondii (Peruvian cotton). RNAcentral's name for it is "long non-coding RNA (GRAI_LNC007654)". The record is from RNAcentral. Lineage: Eukaryota; Viridiplantae; Streptophyta; Magnoliopsida; Malvales; Malvaceae.